This 460-nucleotide ribosomal RNA is filed under the name uncultured bacterium. Its description in RNAcentral is "partial 16S ribosomal RNA". It matches the Rfam family "Bacterial small subunit ribosomal RNA", at positions 338 to 795 of the family's 1533-position model. The record is from RNAcentral.
CCUACGGGAGGCAGCAGUGAGGAAUAUUGGUCAAUGGACGAGAGUCUGAACCAGCCAAGUAGCGUGAAGGAUGACUGCCCUAUGGGUUGUAAACUUCUUUUAUAAAGGAAUAAAACGAGGCACGUGUGCCUUUUUGCAUGUACUUUAUGAAUAAGGAUCGGCUAACUCCGCGCCAGCAGCCGCGGUAAUACGGAGGAUCCGAGCGUUAUCCGGAUUUAUUGGGUUUAAAGGGAGCGUAGAUGGGUUGUUAAGUCAGUUGUGAAAGGUUGCGGCUCAACCGUAAAAUUGCAAUUGAUACUGGCAGUCUUGAGUACAGUUGAGGUAGGCGGAAUUCGUGGUGUAGCGGUGAAAUGCUUAGAUAUCACGAAGAACCCCGAUUGCGAAGGCAGCUUACUAAACUGUGACUGACAUUGAGGCUCGAAAGUGUGGGUAUCAAACAGGAUUAGAUACCCGUGUAGUC